UACAUUGUUGGAAGGAGUAAUGAAACUCAUAUAAAGUUUGGUUGGCCCUGCAUUUGAAUAUAUCAAUAUGAAGUUUUAUCAUUAUCCCGAUAGUGGAAUUUUACUUUCUUUUUUACAUACCGUUGCUUUUUUUUAUAACAAAUGAAGGACCAUUAUCAGCAAAAGCUCUGCAGGCCUUCACACUUGCAGUACAUAAGACAAAAAGCACUUAAUUGGAGGCCAAGUUAUACAUUU
RNAcentral lists this long non-coding RNA (234 nucleotides) under Capsicum annuum. RNAcentral describes it as "long non-coding RNA (CANN_LNC012350)". The record is from RNAcentral. Lineage: Eukaryota; Viridiplantae; Streptophyta; Magnoliopsida; Solanales; Solanaceae.